RNAcentral lists this long non-coding RNA (332 nucleotides) under Olea europaea (common olive). RNAcentral describes it as "long non-coding RNA (OEUR_LNC008750)". Lineage: Eukaryota; Viridiplantae; Streptophyta; Magnoliopsida; Lamiales; Oleaceae. The record is from RNAcentral.
CCUCGGCAUUCAACUAAGUUCAGUUCAAACAAAGAGAAAAAGUCAAAUGACUUGAAAAAAAUGAAAACGUCACAAAAACAACAUAAGUCAAUGAAACUGUACCUUUCCCAAAAUCGACAUCAUAUGGAGAAUGGAACGAUAGACAUAAAUGGUUGUUGUGAUACAACACUCAUUGUGCUCAUUUUACCUAGGAAACUCUUCUCACAAUCACUCCAGCUACCGAUAAGUAGGGGAGCUGAAUUCCUUCGGGGAGGAAGUAGAGCUGAGAUCAUUGCCAUGGAUGGAGGAGACUUGCAGGAGUCCAGAAGCAUCUAAGAUCGACUCAUUACGAG